RNAcentral lists this ribosomal RNA (324 nucleotides) under Diderma niveum. RNAcentral's name for it is "SSU rRNA". It matches the Rfam family "Eukaryotic small subunit ribosomal RNA", at positions 80 to 350 of the family's 1831-position model. The record is from RNAcentral. Lineage: Eukaryota; Evosea; Eumycetozoa; Physariida; Didymiaceae.
UCUGAAUCUGCGAACGGCUCCGCAAACCAGUUGUAAACCAAAGCAAGCAUACUCGGGGACUGCCCUUCACGGGGUGGGCUUCGGGUGAUACGGAUAACCCUGGUAAUUCUGAGGCUAAUACGAGACUAUAAUCCCUGGCGGACCGGGCAACUGGGAAGCUGGGGGGCGUGCGAUCUAUUUGCAAGACGAUACCAGGAGGGGGUGCACGCUCUGACCGCGAUAAAGACGGUUCCGGUAAACCUUCGGGCGAGCUGGUUCCGAGCGGCUCUUGCGAUGUGCUUCUGACCUAUCAACUAGAUGGCAGCGUAACGGACAUGCCAUGGU